GACGAACGCUGGCGGCGUGCCUAAUACAUGCAAGUAGAACGCUGAAGGAGGAGCUUGCUCUUCUGGAUGAGUUGCGAACGGGUGAGUAACGCGUAGGUAACCUGCCUGGUAGUGGGGGAUAACUAUUGGAAACGAUAGCUAAUACCGCAUAACAGUAGAUGUUGCAUGACAUUUGCUUAAAAGGUGCAAUUGCACCACUACCAGAUGGACCUGCGUUGUAUUAGCUAGUUGGUGGGGUAACGGCUCACCAAGGCGACGAUACAUAGCCGACCUGAGAGGGGGAUCGGCCACACUGGGACUGAGACACGGCCCAGACUCCUACGGGAGGCAGCAGUAGGGAAUCUUCGGCAAUGGACGGAAGUCUGACCGAGCAACGCCGCGUGAGUGAAGAAGGUUUUCGGAUCGUAAAGCUCUGUUGUAAGAGAAGAACGAGUGUGAGAGUGGAAAGUUCACACUGUGACGGUAUCUUACCAGAAAGGGACGGCUAACUACGUG
Molecule: ribosomal RNA, 495 nt
Filed under: uncultured bacterium
Lineage: Bacteria
Description: partial 16S ribosomal RNA
Rfam family: Bacterial small subunit ribosomal RNA
Source: RNAcentral